This is a long non-coding RNA of Oreochromis aureus, 393 nucleotides long. RefSeq lists it as uncharacterized. The record is from RefSeq and is a predicted model, not a curated record. Lineage: Eukaryota; Metazoa; Chordata; Actinopteri; Cichliformes; Cichlidae. The transcript is spliced from 3 exons.
GGUGUCUUUGUGAUAUCAGAACAGAAAGUCCAAUUUAGACAAGCAAUGGCAGACAGCACGAAACUCUUAAAACAGGCUGUAAAAAAAUAAUGCAAACCAGGGGUAAGAGGUGUGGAUGAGUAGUAGUAAUCUGAAUGUGCCACAGGAAGAAGAAGAAGAAGAAAUUGUUGGUCUGUCAAAAUACUUUGCUUUCUUGUGUGCUAAGUUCAAAUGAUUCAUUGGUGCUUUUACCUUACAGCUACAGGUGUGGCUGACCAGAAGCAGGAGGACAGUGCCGGACCAAAGCUACAGGAGUCUGUUCAGAGCCGUCACUGUAGCUGUCAGACCACCGGCAGAUAUCUCCCAAUCUAUUUUCCAGCUGUGAGGAGCUCUUCCCGGAGCUCUACGCCAAAA